AUGGCUGUCUAUUGGGUCGUCUCCUGCCUCUGUCUCUCUUCUGCCCUUUUAAACUCUUAGCUCCCUAAAGAAUGAUGGUUGAGCAACAUACAGUAGAAAGAAUUUUAUCUUUGGGUUGCCACUACAUCUUUUUAUAUCUUGAUGACCAUCAUUUUUGUAGGUGGGACAGGUGGUAAUGGGACUGGUUUGGAUAUUGGGGCAGAUGAAGGACCCUCAGCACUGACUGUGACUGUUGGGGAAGUAGUCCGAGCUGCCAACGGGGAUCACCUCCCGGCUGACCUCGUCAUACUGUCGUCCAGUGAACCACAGGGAAUGUGCUACAUCGAAACAUCGAACUUGGAUGGUGAAACAAACCUUAAAAUUCGACAGGGUCUCCAAGUGACGGCCGACUUUAAGGACAUCGACAGCCUGACGCGUCUCUCGGGGCGGAUGGAGUGCGAGUGCCCGAACCGCCAUCUGUACGAGUUUGUGGGAAACAUCCGACUUGAUGGACACAGCACAGUGCCGCUGGGCCCGGACCAGAUCUUACUGAGAGGAGCCCAGCUGAGGAACACACAGUGGGUCCACGGUGUGGUGGUCUACACAGGACAUGACACAAAGCUCAUGCAGAACUCCACUCGGCCUCCGCUCAAAUUGUCCAAUGUGGAGCGCAUCACCAACUUUCAGAUUCUGGUCCUAUUUGGCUGCCUGCUGGCCAUCUCUCUGGUCUGCUCCGUGGGCCAAACCAUCUGGAAGUACCGGUGCGGCAAUGACGCCUGGUACAUGGACCUCAACUAUGGCGGGGCGGCUAACUUUGGCCUCAACUUCCUCACCUUCAUCAUCCUCUUCAACAACUUGAUCCCCAUCAGUCUACUGGUCACUCUGGAGGUCAUCAAGUUCAUCCAGGCCUUCUUCAUCAACUGGGACACUGAUAUGAUCUACGAGCCGACAAACACACCUGCCAUGGCUCGUACAUCCAACCUGAAUGAAGAGUUAGGCCAGGUGAAGUACAUUUUCUCUGACAAGACGGGCACGCUGACCUGCAACGUCAUGCAGUUCAAGAAGUGCACCAUCGCUGGCGUGGCCUACGGUCACGUGCCAGAGGCUGAGGAUGGUAGUUUUGCGGAGGAUGACGGGCACAGCACGCACUCGUCGGAGGAGUCCGGAUUUGUUGACCCAAGCUUGCUGGAAAACCUCCAAAGUAAUCAUCCGACAGCUGCUGUCAUCCUGGAGUUCAUGACCAUGAUGGCCAUCUGCCACACCGCAGUCCCCGAACGCAACGAUGGAACAAUCACCUACCAGGCGGCAUCUCCAGAUGAAGGCGCUCUGGUGAGAGCUGCACGGAACCUGGGAUUUGUUUUUUCUGGUAGAACCCCAGACAGCGUCAUUGUGGAAAUGCUGGGGAACGAGGAGAAGUAUGAGCUGCUUCAUGUGCUGGAGUUUACAAGUGCCAGGAAGAGAAUGUCAGUCAUCAUGCGCACACCAUCCGGAAAGAUCCGCCUCUACUGCAAAGGAGCCGACACAGUGAUUUAUGACAGACUGGCAGACAGUUCUCGGUACAAAGAGAUCACGUUGAAGCAUCUGGAGCAGUUUGCCACCGAGGGGCUACGCACGCUUUGCUUUGCCGUGGCGGACAUCAGCGAGUCGUCCUAUCAGCAGUGGCAGGAGCUGCACCAUCGAGCCUGUACCUCCCUACAGAACCGAGCCCUCAAGCUGGAGGAGAGCUAUGAACUUAUCGAGAAGAACCUGCAGUUGCUCGGGGCCACUGCCAUCGAGGACAAGCUCCAAGAUAAGGUGCCCGAAACCAUAGAGACUCUGAUGAAGGCCGACAUCAAGAUCUGGAUCCUUACCGGGGACAAGCAGGAGACAGCCAUCAACAUCGGACAUUCCUGCAAACUGCUGACCAAAAACAUGGGCAUGCUGGUGAUAAACGAGGACACACUUGAUAGAACAAGGGAGACCCUCAGCCACCACUGCGGAAUGCUGGGAGACGCUCUCUACAAGGAGAAUGACUUUGCGCUCAUCAUCGACGGCAAGACGCUCAAAUACGCCCUCACCUUCGGAGUGCGGCAGUACUUCCUGGACCUCGCACUGUCCUGCAAGGCUGUCAUAUGCUGCAGAGUGUCUCCUCUCCAGAAGUCGGAGGUGGUGGAGAUGGUGAAAAAGCAAGUGAAGGUGAUCACGUUGGCCAUCGGCGACGGAGCCAACGACGUGGGGAUGAUUCAGACAGCUCACGUGGGCGUGGGCAUAUCUGGCAACGAGGGCCUGCAGGCUGCCAACUCCUCCGACUACUCCAUUGCUCAGUUCAAAUACUUGAAGAAUCUGCUGCUCGUCCACGGAGCUUGGAAUUACAAUCGUGUAGCCAAAUGUAUCCUCUACUGCUUCUACAAAAACAUCGUCCUUUACAUCAUUGAGAUCUGGUUUGCGUUUGUGAAUGGCUUUUCGGGUCAGAUUCUGUUUGAGCGCUGGUGCAUCGGCCUGUACAACGUGAUCUUCACUGCUCUGCCUCCUCUCACUCUGGGAAUAUUUGAGCGCUCCUGUCGGAAAGAAAACAUGCUGAAGUACCCCGAGCUCUACAAAACCUCCCAGAAUGCAAUGGGCUUCAACACCAAGGUUUUCUGGGCUCAUUGUCUGAACGGUCUCUUCCACUCAGUCAUCCUCUUCUGGUUCCCUCUUCAAGCCUUCCAGCACGAUACAGUGUUUGGCAAUGGAAGAACUCCGGACUAUCUCCUCUUAGGAAACAUGGUUUACACAUUUGUGGUCAUCACAGUUUGCCUUAAAGCCGGCCUGGAAACAUCAUCCUGGACUAUGUUCAGUCACAUCGCCAUCUGGGGCAGCAUUGUGCUGUGGGUGGUGUUCUUCAUCAUCUACUCCUCCUUGUGGCCCCUCAUCCCCCUGGCCCCCGACAUGUCAGGCGAGGCGGAGAUGAUGUUCUCGUCGGGGGUCUUCUGGAUGGGCCUGGUCUUCAUCCCUAUCACCUCGCUGGUCUUUGACGUGGCCUACAAAGUGGUGAAGAGAGUGUGUUUUAAGACGCUGGUGGAUGAGGUGCAGGAGCUGGAGGCGUUAUCCAAAGAUCCCGGAGCAGUAGUACAGGGGAAAAGUUUGACGGAGAGGGCCCAGCUCCUGAAGAAUGUCUUCAAGAAGAGCACUGUGAGUCUGUACCGUUCCGAGUCCAUGCAGCAGAACCUGCUACGUGAGUUCACAUCCUUGUCUUGUUCUCCGAUAAUGUAUUUUUCUUGCACAAAGUUCACACUCUUGGAUCGGUACUCUGGUCCAGACCAAAAAUGUUUUUUAAAAAGAUACUUACUGUGCACUUUGGUGCCGUUUCCGUAGCGUUCAAUGGGUAUUUUUUUCAUGGAACCAAAGGCUGCACAGUAAAGAACAUAUGCAUAAAGUAAGGACCAUUGUAGAAACAAUCCCAAACAGCAAAAAACACUAAAAAUGCUGUAAUAUGCAUCCCAAGAUGCAUGGGAUGCCCCAUUCACACAGGAGUUUUUUUGGCGUAGCUGUUCUGUUCGAAAAAGUGGCAAGACGGACUUCUCCCACCCUGUUACGUUGAAAGCAGUAGCCCCUGUCAACCUCCUUGUAAAAGCCCCCCCAUGUCGCUGUUCUGUAUAAACUGCACUGGCACGGAAUAGGGGAGGAAGUCAUUCCAUCAAAAUUCCACCUCUGAGGGUCAGUAUCAGAGCUGCAACAGAAGUGGGCUGGUGCUUGUGUAAAAGGGAAUGCCGGGACAGUGGUGUAGAGUUGAAGACCCGACACACUCCCCCUGCCCUAUUACUGUUGUUGAUAGCAGGAGCCCCUUUCACACGGUCGGUAGAAGUUGCCUUUUUCCGCCUUUUUUCCAUGUUCAGGGGUCUCAUCUAUAAAGCUUGUGUACGCACAAAUGGGCCAAAAAGUUGUGUUUGCCGUUUUCCACUCAAAGAACUGUAUGUGAUCAAUAACAGCGGUUCUCAACUGGUGGGUCGGGACCCAAAAGUGGGUCGCAGAUUCAUUCUGGUGGGUCACAGACAAGUAAGAAAUUUCAUUGAAAUAUUUAAUAUGCACCUCAUGCACCUCAUGUCAAGUAAAUUGUGGUCUUUUUGAUAUUUCAUUUUAUUUUAUGCAUUAUUUAUAUGCAUGCAGUCAUCAUGUUCUUCCUCAUUUACUUUACAAACUGCCGUAAAUUUCCUAAAAAAUGCCCCUUGGACAUAAUUAUUACGUAAUUAUGUGCAUUCAUGUUUCAAAAGAUGACAGACAGUUAAAAACAAAUACAAUUAUUGAAAUAAAUAAAUGAAGGAAUAAAUAAGUAAAGACUAAAUAAAAUAAAUCAAAAUAAAAAAUACUUAAAUAAAAGUGUAAACAAUAAUAAAAAUAAAUAAAAAUGUAAAAAAUAAUAAACAUAAAUAACAAUUGAAAAUGACUUAAACAAAAGUGUGCCGUGACUUAAUGACCAUUGGAAAAUUUUGAGGACUCCUGAUCGAUAAAAAGAGUGUGCACACCAGCGUGAAGUGAAGUCAUACGUUAGAAAUGAACAAGCAAUGAAGCCAAUGCAGGUUCAUCAGUCAUUGACUUAACCGUCACAUCGUUAUUGGCUGUGUGGAAAGUGUUGCCAUUUUACAUGUUUAUUAAUCAACAUAAUCAAACAACAUAUGAGUGGUGAGUGUAAAUGGAUUCAUGGUAGUAGUCCUAAAGUAUCAUAAACACCAUUACACAUGAGGGUAUUAGUACCCUGACUAAAAGAUACAUAAAAAAAACAACAACGCAGGGCUUGGAAUCUAACCACUUCAUUUGAUUAUCAUGACAAUAUUAUUAUGUAUUUGAUAAUCAUUAAUUGUAAUAAACAUUAACUUAUCGAUCAAAUAAUUAUAUGUGUUUUAAGUUUAUAAGAUAAAGAGCCAAUAUGCAUGUCCUCAACGCUGCGCUGCGGACCAUUUAUCAAAAAACAAGACCGUUCUUCAUUGCAUAUGUUAAGUAUGUCAUCAAUAUCAACAUUUACAUGUGUUAGCAUAGCCUGUACUUGUGUGUCAGGGCCGUGUGCAUUGUUACUCUUGUUACGGUAGUUUUUCUUUUCUACAAAGGAUGAUUGCUCAUUUGUGUUGUUGUGAUUCACUAUAACUAAUACACAAAAUUAGUUCCUAAUAAUAACAAUAUCCCUAACAUUUCCAUGGUGUUAAAGUCAGCAUACUGUUAAAUAUUUUAAAAAAUGUCUGUCUAAAAAUACAGCAAAUCAAUCUGUGACGUAACUUCAUCCAUGUUUGGACUUUUCUUUGGAUGAAGUACUUUAAUGUACUGUGUGUACUGUAAUGUAAUGUAGGCGAUACGAGGAGGACAGGUACCUCUUUGCAUUUUAAAUGAGAGGUUCUUUGAAUCCAAAAUGUGCAAUAUUGGACUGAAGUGUGCAAAAUAUUAAAAAAGAGUUUGCUAAAAAUGAAAAUGUGUGCGAAGUUCCAUACACGCCGAUGAGUGGACGUGCUGUCACUCGAUCAUCUUUCUUUUAUUUGUUAUGCCACUGCUGUUUUUUUUUUUUUUUUUUUUUUUUAGUAUUUCCACCUCCAUUUCUUUGUCGUUGUCUUCUCACCAGCCGUCACAGCAGCCACCAUAACAAUGCAAUCAAGGCUCUUUAAAUAUGGACGCCACAUUCAUGAGUCACUUUGCAUCGACCUUCUCCAGUGAAGUGGAGGUGUGGCGAGGGCGUGCGUUGAAUACAUACACUUCUACUGUACUUAAGGUGGAAUCUAUAGACCACAAACUGCGUCAAAGUGAGCUUACGCCGCUUUUUAUGAGGGUGAACACUUGGCUUUCUGGCGUACGGAGACUUUCAGUCAGAAUUCCACGCACACUUUUAUAGAUGAGACCCCAGAACAACAACACGGAAAACAGCGUGCAGGGUACAAAGGUCAUAAAAGGUCCUAACAGUGGUGGGACAGCCCCUCUAUAAUCAGGACAGCCGAGUAUGAGAGCUGUAACAGAGUCUGCUUCUGUUUGAAAGCCGGGACAGGUGUGAAGCUCAACAUCGAACACUCCCUACUCCCACCAUGUUGUCACGGACCAAUUCUUUCUGGCAAUUUUCCGCCUUCUGAGGUAGUAUCUGAGCCGUAACAGAGACAGGUCUGCUUCUGUUUGAAAAGGGACUAGCAGGAAGCCAGGACAAGGCUGUGAAGCUCAACAUCAGACACUCACGGGUCCCGCCACGUUAUCUUUUUUUCGCCUAGAGUAGACUAAUUCUUUCUGGAAACGUUCAGCCUUCUGAGGUAGUAUCAGAGCUGUAACAGUGACGUGUCUGUACCUGUUUGAAAGAGACUAGCGCAAAGCGAGAACACAGGUGUCAAACUUAACAUCGGACGCUUUUUUUUACCCGCUCAAUUGUGUUGAAAGUUACGGCGACAUCCCACCUUCACUGAGUGUGAAUGGCUUAUUGAUAGCUUCUUUUACGGCUGUGAUGCGGCUACUUUGCCGACUGCACCAACAAAAGGCCAAAGACUCCAGAACAGGAAGCUGACGCCACCUUAAACCGAUGAGUCACCUUCAUGGCAAAUUAGAGAUGGUAAAUACUUCCAGCAUGAGGACGACGGCGUGUCAAAUAACGAGCUGUCAAGUGGAGACUGUGUCGAAAUCUUGUUUUCUUUUUCUUUUCGUCACCCUUUUUGUUCAUCUUCUUUAAAAUUUGCUUUGUUCUUUGGCUUACUGUUUGUUUUAAGACCAGAAGACACCAAAACUAGCCAGACGGGAUCAACAUUAGCUCCAGAGCAGAUUCACAAAAACUCAUCCUCAAAUUAUAUUUUAUUUGCAUUUAUUAUUUUGUGACCUGAUAUUUUAAUAUAAUGUUAUUAUAAGUCAUAUUUUUAAUGUCUAAGUAGUUUUUCAUUUUUCUCGCAGGGGCCAAAUACAUUUUGCUUUGUAAAAAUUAGAUUUUUUUGUUACUUUAAUAUUAAACUAGAGUGUUUUGGUUUUUAGUGGCUUUUAGUUCUUUUAUCAAGUAAGUUGAAAGUUACCAGCAGAUUUUUGUAGUCGAUGAAACAUUGUAAACAAAGCUCCGUUCCAAUUAGGUUAGCUGCCCUUUGAUUUUUGUUUUUGACAAUAUCGAGUAACUUUCAGGUUUUUCAAGGAACUGUCGAGUAAUUACAACUGUAUUUAAAAAAAAAAAAAAAAGACUUGCCAAAAUAUAUAAUUAAGCUAGCUACUUUUGAUUUCUUUGAUGAUGACAAAAUCCAGUAACCUGGAAAAUGAACCACAGAUUUGUUGAGUAUAGUAAUCACAGCUCUAUUUAAACAACGCAACAAAAAAACUAACUAAAACUAACUAAAACAAAUACUUGUAAUUAAUUUGUUUUUUUAGUUGUUUUAGUUAAAUUUAGUUGUAAUUUCUUAAAGUAUCGAGUAACAGAUUUUCCAAGUUGAUUCAAACUUGUAAAAAAAAAAAAGCUUUAUUAAAAAAAGUAGAAAUAAAUUAUUUUUUCUUUGUUGUUUUUUUACUUUUCAAAAAUAAUAUUAUUUGAUGAAAACGUACAACGAAAAAUAUAAAUAAAUAAUAACACAACUAAGACGUGUAAUUAGGCGAGUGUAGCCUGUUAAAAGUUCCGAUGAAGCAAAUGCAAAUAUUGAACGACGUCUUCCUUCUCGUUUUUAGUUGGAGCUCGGACUCAAAGCUUCGCAUUACGGAUUAGACCACUGUAGCAAGUUUUAGAUUAGUCCGCAACAAAUAACACUGAUGGAUGUUGAAAGGUGUCUCUUUUGAUUUUGUGUUUUAUUUCUUUGUAUUGUGUUGUGUUUUGUUGUGUUGUGUCCUUUUGUCUGAUCAGUUUGCUUUUUGUUUGUUGUCUCGUAGGUGGGGAUGAGUCGCUUGUUGUGUGAUUCCUUUCAUUACAUUUGAAAUAAUGACUCAAGCCCGCACCUGCUUCCAUUAGAGUUCCUCAUUAGAUGCCCCUUCCUUUUUUCCCUCGUUUCUUUCUUUGGUUCCAUGCCUUCCUGUCCUCUUCCUCGUGUGCCUGCUGUGUCCUGCGGUGAGCUUAGUAAAAGAAAAAAAUAGGUGAAAUGACGAAAUGUUGCGCUGUUAUUCCCCCCCCUGGCUCAGCACGCUCCUUUGAGCUGACCCGCUGGCCCCCCAGGUACUGACCCGCUCAUUUGACACCUCAAGACGGCUACGCCUUUUCCCAAGACGAGAACGGCGUGGUGUCCCAGUCGGAGGUGAUCCGAGCGUACGACACCACCAAGCAGAGGAGCAGAGAGUGG
This is an RNA transcript of Dunckerocampus dactyliophorus (ringed pipefish), 8189 nucleotides long. It is a transcript of the gene named ATPase phospholipid transporting 8A1, with no coding region annotated. The transcript has 32 exons. NCBI's taxonomy places the organism in Eukaryota, Metazoa, Chordata, Actinopteri, Syngnathiformes, Syngnathidae. The record is from RefSeq and is a predicted model, not a curated record.